GACGAACGCUGGCGGCGUGCUUAACACAUGCAAGUCGAACGGAAAGGCCCUGCUUUUGUUUGGUGCUCGAGUGUCGAACGUGUGAGUAACACGUGUGUGACCUGCCCUUGACUUUGGGAUAACUUCAGGAGACUAGGGCUGAUACCGGAUACGAGCUCCUGCUGCAUGGUGGGGGUUGGAAAUCUUCGGCGGGUGGGGAUGGACUGGAGGCGUAUCAGCUUCUUGGGGGGGUAGUGGCUUACCAAGGCCGUGACGGGUAGCCGGCCUGAGAGGGUGACCGGCCACAUUGGGACUGAGAUAAGGCACAGACUCCUACGGGAGGCAGCAGUGGGGAAUAGUGCACAACGGGCGGAAGCCUGAUGCAGUAAAGCCGCGUGCGGGAUGACGGCCUUCGGGUUGGAAACCGCUUUCGCCUGUGAAGAAGAGUGAGUGACGGUAAUGGGUAAAGAAGCACCGGCUAAAUACGUG
This 468-nucleotide ribosomal RNA is filed under the name uncultured bacterium. RNAcentral describes it as "partial 16S ribosomal RNA". It matches the Rfam family "Bacterial small subunit ribosomal RNA", at positions 28 to 507 of the family's 1533-position model. The record is from RNAcentral.